This 343-nucleotide unclassified non-coding RNA is filed under the name soil metagenome. RNAcentral describes it as "partial contains 5.8S ribosomal RNA, internal transcribed spacer 2, and large subunit ribosomal RNA". The stretch from base 1 to 120 matches the Rfam family "5.8S ribosomal RNA", at positions 35 to 154 of the family's 154-position model. The record is from RNAcentral.
GAUGAAGAACGUAGCGAAAUGCGAUAAGUAAUGUGAAUUGAAGAAUUCAGUGAAUCAUCGAAUCUUUGAACGCACAUUGCGCCCGCCAGCAUUCUGGCGGGCAUGCCUGUUCGAGCGUCAUUUCAACCCUCGAGCCCCCCCGGGGGCCUCGGUGUUGGGGGACGGCACACCAGCCGCCCCCGAAAUGCAGUGGCGACCCCGCCGCAGCCUCCCCUGCGUAGUAGCACACACCUCGCACCGGAGCGCGGAGGCGGUCACGCCGUAAAACGCCCAACUUUCUUAGAGUUGACCUCGGAUCAGGUAGGAAUACCCGCUGAACUUAAGCAUAUCAAUAAGCGGAGGA